UGGACGUUUGAGAUUUGAGAGGGGCUGCUCCUAGUACGAGAGGACCGGAGUGGACGAACCUCUGGUGUUCCGGUUGUCACGCCAGUGGCAUUGCCGGGUAGCUAUGUUCGGAAAAGAUAACCGCUGAAAGCAUCUAAGCGGGAAACUUGCCUCAAGAUGAGAUCUCACUGGGAACUUGAUUCCCCUGAAGGGCCGUCGAAGACUACGACGUUGAUAGGCUGGGUGUGUAAGCGUUGUGAGGCGUUGAGCUAACCAGUACUAAUUGCCCGUGAGGCUUGACCAU
Molecule: ribosomal RNA, 283 nt
Filed under: Pseudomonas aeruginosa
Lineage: Bacteria; Pseudomonadati; Pseudomonadota; Gammaproteobacteria; Pseudomonadales; Pseudomonadaceae
Also listed under: 1 other name
Description: partial 23S ribosomal RNA
Rfam family: Bacterial large subunit ribosomal RNA
Source: RNAcentral